Molecule: ribosomal RNA, 1913 nt
Filed under: Henneguya piaractus
Lineage: Eukaryota; Metazoa; Cnidaria; Myxozoa; Bivalvulida; Myxobolidae
Description: SSU rRNA
Rfam family: Eukaryotic small subunit ribosomal RNA
Source: RNAcentral
ACAUUUAAAAUGUGAGACUGCGGACGGCUCAGUAUAUCAGUUAUAAUCUGCUCGAUUGUGAAGGUUAUUGGAUAACCGUGGGAAAUCUAGAGCUAAUACAUGCACCCCGCGGCCCGGGCGACCGGGUCGCUGCAUUUAUUAGAGAAUGCCAACCGCGCGAGCAAUCGCGUGUGGUGAAUCCAGAUAACUGUGCAGAUCGCACGGCCUCGAGCUGGCGACAUUUCGAUUGAAUUUCUGCCCUAUCAACUUUGUGUAGGCAGUGUAGUGGACUGCCUAGGUUUUGACGGGUAACGGGGAAUCAGGGUUCGAUUCCGGAGAGGGAGCCUGAGAAACGGCUACCACAUCCAAGGAAGGCAGCAGGCGCGCAAAUUACCCAAUCCAGACAAUGGGAGGUGGUGACGAGAAGUACCGGAUGACGGCAUAUUGCUGUCAGUCUGGAAUGGAAGCAAUUUAAGCAAUUGACUUGAGUAACGACUGGAGGGCAAGUCUGGUGCCAGCAGCCGCGGUAAUUCCAGCUCCAGUAGCGUAUCUCAAAGUUGCUGCGCUUAAAACGCUCGUAGUUGGAUCACGCACUGUGUGCGGGUGGACUCGCAGGGUGGCGCGCAAAACCCCUGUGAUCCGGUCGUUGUGUUCUCAUGGCGAUCCGGGUACAGGGGAGCGUCGCUUGCGGGUUGUCGGCCCACGCACAGUAAUUGCACGUGAGGAUGGGCGUUGACCUUUAGUGCGUCGACGGCCGUGUCUCACGGGGUGUGCCUUGAGUAAAUCAGAGUGCUCAAAGCAGGCGAAAGCUUGAAUGUUGAUAGCAUGGAACGAACAAUCGUGUAUGGUGCGUACCGGGGACGGCGUGGAUCCCGUAAGGGGUCUACAUCGCGGUGCGUGACACCGACCGCCAAUUACGGAUGUUGGUUUCCGUAUUGGGGUACUGAUUAAGAGGAGCGGUUGGGGGCAUUGGUAUUUGGCAGCGAGAGGUGAAAUUCUUGGACCUGCCAAGGACUAACAAAUGCGAAGGCAUCUGUCCAGACCGUAUCCAUUAAUCAAGAACGAUAGCGGGAGGUUCGAAGACGAUCAGAUACCGUCCUAGUUCUCGCUGUAAACUAUGCCGACCCGGGAUCAGCUUGGAGCGUCAUCCAAGCUCGAGGUUGGUCCCCCUGGGAAACCUGAAGUUUUUCGGUUGCGGGGGGAGUAUGGUCGCAAGGCUGAAACUUAAAGGAAUUGACGGAAGGGCACCACCAGGGGUGGAGCCUGCGGCUUAAUUCGACUCAACACGGGAAAACUUACCUGGUCCGGACAUCAAAAGGAUAGACAGACCGAGAGAUCUUUCUUGAUAUGAUGAUUGGUGGUGCAUGGCCGUUCUUAGUUCGUGGAGUGAUCUGUCAGGCUGAUUCCGGUAACGAACGAGACCACGUUCUCCAUUUGACGAGUCGGGAAAGGCCGCCAGUGGGCAGGUUUUCGCUCGCGACGACUUGCGCCAGUGGUUGCUUUAGGCAUAGUUCGGUAAAGGCUUCUGCCUCAGCCGUGGUGGUCUCCACUGCGGUCGGGGUGGGUUCUCUCGACCCGGACUAUCCUUCCGAGUCUGCAGUAUGCGUGUCCGCAAGGCGCGUGCAUUGCCUCAUGGAGAGACUGCGGAGAAUACCAAAGUCCGAGGAAGUGUGGCUAUAACAGGUCUGUGAUGCCCUUAGAUGUUCAGGGCUGCACGCGCGCUACAAUGGCGGCGACAGCGAGUUUCUGGAUCGAGAGAUUCGGGUAACCUUGUAAUCGCCGCCGUGAUGGGGAUCGAUGCUUGUAAAUGCGUCGUGAAAGAGGAAUCCCUAGUACGUGCGAUUCAUGAGAUCGCGCGGAUUCAGUCCCUGCCCUUUGUACACACCGCCCGUCGCUACUACCGAGUGAAUGGUGUCAUGAUGCCUUGGGAGCGG